Molecule: ribosomal RNA, 496 nt
Filed under: uncultured bacterium
Lineage: Bacteria
Description: bacterial SSU rRNA
Rfam family: Bacterial small subunit ribosomal RNA
Source: RNAcentral
ACUCAAAUGAAUAGACGGGGGCCCGCACAAGCAGCGGAGCAUGUGGUUUAAUUCGAAGCAACGCGAAGAACCUUACCAGGUCUUGACAUCCUUUGACAACCCAAGAGAUUGGGAUUUCCCUUCGGGGACAAAGUGACAGAUGGUGCAUGGUUGUCGUCAGCUCGUGUCGUGAGAUGUUGGGUUAAGUCCCGCAACGAGCGCAACCCUUGUGUUUAGUUGCCAUCAUUCAGUUGGGCACUCUAGACAGACUGCCCGUGAAAGCGGGAGGAAGGUGGGGAUGACGUCAAAUCAUCAUGCCUCUUACGACCUGGGCUACACACGUGCUACAAUGGUCUGAACAGAGGGUAGCGAAGCCGUGAGGCGGAGCCAAUCUCAAAAAACAGAUCUCAGUUCGGAUUGCAGGCUGCAACUCGCCUGCAUGAAGUCGGAGUUGCUAGUAAUCGCGAAUCAGCAUGUCGCGGUGAAUGCGUUCCCGGGCCUUGUACACACCGCCCGU